This 492-nucleotide ribosomal RNA is filed under the name uncultured bacterium. Its description in RNAcentral is "partial 16S ribosomal RNA". It matches the Rfam family "Bacterial small subunit ribosomal RNA", at positions 29 to 507 of the family's 1533-position model. The record is from RNAcentral.
AGUGAACGCUGGCGGUAGGCCUAACACAUGCAAGUCGAACGGCAGCACAGUAAGAGCUCGCUCUUACGGGUGGCGAGUGGCGGACGGGUGAGGCAUACAUCGGAAUCUACUUUUUCGUGGGGGACAACGUAGGGACACUUACGCUAAUACCGCAUACGUCCUACGGGUGAAAGCAGGGGAUCUUCGGACCUUGCGUGAUUGAAUGAGCCGAUGUCGGAUUAGCUAGUUGGCGGGGUAAAGGCCCACCAAGGCGACGAUCCGUAGCUGAUCUGAGAGGAUGAUCAGCCACACUGGAACUGAGACACGGUCCAGACUCCUACGGGAGGCAGCAGUAGGGAAUAUUGGACAAUGGGCGCAAGCCUGAUCCAGCCAUACCGCGUGAGUGAAGAAGGCCUUCGGGUUGUAAAGCCCUGUUAUUGGGGAAGAAAAGCAGCAUGUGAAUACCCCGCUGUUCUGACGGUACCCAAAGAAUAAGCACCGGCUAACUUCGUG